This 217-nucleotide ribosomal RNA is filed under the name Glomeromycotina sp. Its description in RNAcentral is "partial small subunit ribosomal RNA". The stretch from base 32 to 217 matches the Rfam family "Eukaryotic small subunit ribosomal RNA", at positions 677 to 864 of the family's 1831-position model. Lineage: Eukaryota; Fungi; Glomeromycota. The record is from RNAcentral.
GGGUCAUUAGGUUGGUCGUGCCACCGGUACGUACUGGUCUCACUGAUUCCUCCUUCCUGAAGAACCGUAAUGCCAUUAAUUUGGUGUUGCGGGGGAAACAGGACUGUUACUUUGAAAAAAUUAGAGUGUUUAAAGCUAGCUAACGCUUGAAUACAUUAGCAUGGAAUAAUGAAAUAGGACGAUCGAUCCUAUUUUGUUGGUUUCUAGGAUUGACGUA